This 447-nucleotide ribosomal RNA is filed under the name uncultured bacterium. RNAcentral's name for it is "partial 16S ribosomal RNA". It matches the Rfam family "Bacterial small subunit ribosomal RNA", at positions 29 to 523 of the family's 1533-position model. The record is from RNAcentral.
AACGAACGCUGGCGGCAGGCUUAACACAUUCAAGCCGAGCGCCCCGCAAGGGGAGCGGCAGACGGGUGAGUAACACGUGGGAACAUACCCAUCUCUGCGGAACAACUCCGGGAAACUGGAGCUAAUACCGCAUACGCCCUUCGGGGGAAAGAUUUAUCGGAGAUGGAUUGGCCCGCGUUGGAUUAGCGAGUUGGUGGGGUAAAGGCCUACCAAGGCGACGAUCCAUAGCUGGUCUGGGAGGAUGAUCAGCCACAUUGGGACUGAGACACGGCCCAAACUCCUACGGGAGGCAGCAGUGGGGAAUAUUGGACAAUGGGCGCAAGCCUGAUCCAGCCAUGCCGCGUGAGUGAUGAAGGCCUUAGGGUUGUAAAGCUCUUUCACCGAUGAAGAUAAUGACGGUAGUCGGAGAAGAAGCCCCGGCUAACUUCGUGCCAGCAGCCGCGGUAA